GAAAUGCGAUACGUAAUGCGAAUUGCAAAACCUCGUGAAUCAUCAAAAUUUUGAACGCACAUUGCGCUUCCGGGAAAUGUCCGGUAGCAUACUUAUCUGAGUGUCCGUGAACCCCCCUCAGCAGGCAGACUAUGUUAUGUACACGUACAGUAUGUAUGUAUGUAUGUAUGAUGUAUGUAUGUAUGUAUGUAUGUAUGUAACAUGUUUAGUUAGCUGGAAUGUGUUAUUGCAAGUUUGGCCUUUGGGUUGAGUUGCUAUAAUGAAGUGAGCGAAAGUAAGACUAGUAGUUAGGAUGACCUGCUGUAGUCCCUGUUGCCUUGUCCGUGUGUGACUUGGUGCUCUGUUAGUCUAAUAUCUCUGUAAAUUAGUUUUAUCAGUUUUAUCAGUUUGAGCAUUAGUCAGUGAUGGAUGGUAAGGUGGGAUUGUGUAGAGGUUUUGAUUCCUUGAUUGCGUCCGGAUCUCAGAUUAAGUAAGGAGACCCGCUGAAUUUAAGCAUAUAAUUAAGCGGAGCAAAAGAAACUAACCAGGAUUCCCUC
Molecule: ribosomal RNA, 536 nt
Filed under: Thalassionema nitzschioides
Lineage: Eukaryota; Bacillariophyta; Fragilariophyceae; Thalassionematales; Thalassionemataceae
Description: eukaryotic LSU rRNA
Rfam family: 5.8S ribosomal RNA (bases 1-106)
Source: RNAcentral